GGGCGGUUAGCUCAGUUGGUUAGAGUACUUGCUUGACAUGCAAGGGGUCACUGGUUCAAAUCCAGUACCGCCCA
RNAcentral lists this transfer RNA (74 nucleotides) under Candidatus Zhuqueibacterota bacterium RBG_16_48_16. RNAcentral's name for it is "candidate division KSB1 bacterium RBG_16_48_16 tRNA-Val". It matches the Rfam family "tRNA". Rfam says of the family: Transfer RNA (tRNA) molecules are approximately 80 nucleotides in length. RNAcentral also lists the same sequence under 3 other names. Lineage: Bacteria; Pseudomonadati. The record is from RNAcentral.